UACGAAGGGGGCUAGCGUUGUUCGGAAUUACUGGGCGUAAAGCGCACGUAGGCGGCUUGUUAAGUCAGGGGUGAAAUCCUGGAGCUCAACUCCAGAACUGCCUUUGAUACUGGCGAGCUUGAGUCCGGGAGAGGUGAGUGGAACUGCGAGUGUAGAGGUGAAAUUCGUAGAUAUUCGCAAGAACACCAGUGGCGAAGGCGGCUCACUGGCCCGGUACUGACGCUGAGGUGCGAAAGCGUGGGGAGCAAACAGG
This 253-nucleotide ribosomal RNA is filed under the name uncultured bacterium. RNAcentral's name for it is "partial 16S ribosomal RNA". It matches the Rfam family "Bacterial small subunit ribosomal RNA", at positions 524 to 776 of the family's 1533-position model. The record is from RNAcentral.